AAGCUUUUCGCUCCACUGCUGUGGAUCUACCACCUGAAGAAUCUAAGGCUCCAUAUCACUCAAUCACCUUGCCAGAGACUUUUGAACUUGACGAUUUUGAAUUGCCAGACAAUGACAUUUUUCAGGGUAAUUAUGUGGACCAUCAUAUUAGUUCAAGGGAGCAGAUCACACUACAAGAUAACAUGGAGGGUGUGGUUUACUCAACUUCGAAGUUUGGACUGGAUGAGAGAUUUGGGGAUGGUGACACUUCUGGUUUAGACCUUGAUGAGGAAUUAUUUCUGGACAAGGUUGCUGCUGCUGGAGAUGCUAAUGGGAGUGCGGAUCCUCAAGCAUCUGUUGAACCAAUGACACCAAUCAAACAAGAAGAACACCAUGAAGAGAUGGUUGCAAAUUCCGAGAGCAUGUUGGAUGGAGUUGAUGGAGAUGCUGAUUUCAUGGAUCAUGCUCCAUGUACUCCUGGGUUAGUGGAAGAACCAAAUUUGUCUAACAUUCAGGAAAUAUCAGCAUGUGAGGACCAUCUAGGUCUGGAAGAUCGUCAUUUGACGGAAUAUGCCG
RNAcentral lists this unclassified non-coding RNA (555 nucleotides) under Hevea brasiliensis (rubber tree). Lineage: Eukaryota; Viridiplantae; Streptophyta; Magnoliopsida; Malpighiales; Euphorbiaceae. The record is from RNAcentral.